This 252-nucleotide ribosomal RNA is filed under the name uncultured bacterium. RNAcentral describes it as "partial 16S ribosomal RNA". It matches the Rfam family "Bacterial small subunit ribosomal RNA", at positions 524 to 776 of the family's 1533-position model. The record is from RNAcentral.
UACGUAGGGGGCGAGCGUUAUCCGGAAUUAUUGGGCGUAAAGCGUGCGUAGGCGGUUUGUUAAGUCACUUGUAAAAGAUCUCAGCCCAACUGAGUAAGGCAUGUGAAACUGGCAGACUUGAAUACGGUAGAGGUAAGUGGAAUUCCAUGUGUAGCGGUGGAAUGCGUAGAUAUAUGGAGGAACACCAAUGGCGAAGGCAACUUACUGGGCCGGAAUUGACGCUGAGGCACGAAAGCGUGGGGAGCAAACAGG